This 119-nucleotide ribosomal RNA is filed under the name Triticum aestivum (bread wheat). Lineage: Eukaryota; Viridiplantae; Streptophyta; Magnoliopsida; Poales; Poaceae. The record is from RNAcentral.
GGAUGCGAUCAUACCAGCACUAAAGCACCGGAUCCCAUCAGAACUCCGAAGUUAAGCAUGCUUGGGCGAGAGUAGUACUAGGAUGGGUGACCUCCUAGGAAGUCCUCGUGUUGCAUUCC